Schistocerca cancellata (South American locust) is the source of this 296-nucleotide long non-coding RNA. RefSeq lists it as uncharacterized. The record is from RefSeq and is a predicted model, not a curated record. The transcript has 3 exons. NCBI's taxonomy places the organism in Eukaryota, Metazoa, Arthropoda, Insecta, Orthoptera, Acrididae.
CCCAACUGGCCAACCACUAGAUCCAACAAGUGCCACCAAACAACAUUCCACCAUUUCGGCACUUUGAUGAAAGAGAAGAGUAGUUCCACACACACUGUCAAUUCAAGGACAUACCUACACGUGACAGAAGUCUGCACUAUAUUGGAAGUGAUUGUGGAAUGUCAUGGAGACCAAGGAAUUAUGGUGCUGUAAAAAUACAGUGAAAAUUUCUUGUAUAGCAGGAUGUUAAAAAAGUGCCAAUUCUAAGUCAUCGCCGAGAUCCGGCAUCAAGAGGUUCAGUGCAGACAAGAAUAAUU